RNAcentral lists this ribosomal RNA (305 nucleotides) under uncultured bacterium. RNAcentral describes it as "bacterial SSU rRNA". It matches the Rfam family "Bacterial small subunit ribosomal RNA", at positions 335 to 637 of the family's 1533-position model. The record is from RNAcentral.
UAUCCUACGGGAGGCAGCAGUGAGGAAUAUUGGUCAAUGGGCGAGAGCCUGAACCAGCCAAGUCGCGUGAGGGAGUACUGCCCUAUGGGUUGUAAACCUCUUUUGCCGGGGAGCAAGGGCGGGGACGUGUCCCGGCCCGGAGAGUACCCGGAGAAAAAGCAUCGGCUAACUCCGUGCCAGCAGCCGCGGUGACACGGAGGAUGCGAGCGUUAUCCGGAUUUAUUGGGUUUAAAGGGUGCGUAGGCGGAAUGCCAAGUCAGCGGUAAAAUCGCGGGGCUCAACCUCGCUCCGCCGUUGAAACUGGC